RNAcentral lists this ribosomal RNA (679 nucleotides) under uncultured bacterium. RNAcentral's name for it is "bacterial SSU rRNA". It matches the Rfam family "Bacterial small subunit ribosomal RNA", at positions 61 to 721 of the family's 1533-position model. The record is from RNAcentral.
GUCGAACGCGAAAGGGGCUUCGGCCCUGAGUAGAGUGGCGAACGGGUGAGUAACGCGUGGGUGACCUACCUCCGAGUGGGGGAUAACGUCCCGAAAGGGACGCUAAUACCGCAUGACAUCCCGCUUUUGAACAGGCGGAGAUCAAAGCUGGGGAUCGCAAGACCUGGCGCUUGAAGAGGGGCCCGCGUCUGAUUAGCUAGUUGGUGAGGUAACGGCCCACCAAGGCGACGAUCAGUAUCCGGCCUGAGAGGGCGGACGGACACACUGGGACUGAGACACGGCCCAGACUCCUACGGGAGGCAGCAGUGGGGAAUUGUUCGCAAUGGGCGCAAGCCUGACGACGCAACGCCGCGUGGAGGAUGAAGGUCUUCGGAUUGUAAACUCCUGUUGCCAGGGACGAAUGGCUCCGACCUAACACGUCGGAGAGUGACGGUACCUGGUGAGGAAGCCCCGGCUAACUCUGUGCCAGCAGCCGCGGUAAUACAGAGGGGGCUAGCGUUGUUCGGAAUUACUGGGCGUAAAGGGCGCGUAGGCGGCCUUCUAAGUCGAACGUGAAAUCCCCGGGCUCAACCCGGGAACUGCGUCCGAUACUGGUUGGCUUGAAUCCGGGAGAGGGAUGUGGAAUUCCAGGUGUAGCGGUGAAAUGCGUAGAUAUCUGGAGGAACACCGGUGGCGAAGG